Molecule: ribosomal RNA, 468 nt
Filed under: uncultured bacterium
Lineage: Bacteria
Description: partial 16S ribosomal RNA
Rfam family: Bacterial small subunit ribosomal RNA
Source: RNAcentral
GACGAACGCUGGCGGCGUGCUUAACACAUGCAAGUCGAACGGAAAGGCCCUGCUUUUGUGGGGUGCUCGAGUGGCGAACGGGUGAGUAACACGUGAGUAACCUGCCCUUGACUUUGGGAUAACUUCAGGAAACUGGGGCUAAUACCGGAUAGGAGCUCCUGCUGCAUGGUGGGGGUUGGAAAGUUUCGGCGGUUGGUGAUUGACUCGCGGCUUAUCAGCUUGUUGGUGGGGUAGUGGCUUACCAAGGCUUUGACGGGUAGCCGGCCUGAGAGGGUGACCGGCCACAUUGGGACUGAGAUACGGCCCAGACUCCUACGGGAGGCAGCAGUGGGGAAUAUUGCACAAUGGGCGGAAGCCUGAUGCAGCAACGCCGCGUGCGGGAUGACGGCCUUCGGGUUGUAAACCGCUUUCGCCUGUGACGAAGCGUGAGUGACGGUAAUGGGUAAAGAAGCACCGGCUAACUACGUG